UACGUAGGGUGCAAGCGUUAUCCGGAAUUAUUGGGCGUAAAGAGCUCGUAGGCGGUUUGUCACGUCUGCUGUGAAAACAUGGAGGCUCAACCUCCAGCCUGCAGUGGGUACGGGCAGACUAGAGUGCGGUAGGGGAGAUUGGAAUUCCUGGUGUAGCGGUGGAAUGCGCAGAUAUCAGGAGGAACACCGAUGGCGAAGGCAGAUCUCUGGGCCGUAACUGACGCUGAGGAGCGAAAGCAUGGGGAGCGAACAGG
This 254-nucleotide ribosomal RNA is filed under the name uncultured bacterium. RNAcentral's name for it is "partial 16S ribosomal RNA". It matches the Rfam family "Bacterial small subunit ribosomal RNA", at positions 524 to 776 of the family's 1533-position model. The record is from RNAcentral.